UAGGUUAAGAUUAGGUCAUGCUUGUACCC
RNAcentral lists this small RNA (29 nucleotides) under Bombyx mori (domestic silkworm). RNAcentral describes it as "ovarian small RNA-22804". The record is from RNAcentral. Lineage: Eukaryota; Metazoa; Arthropoda; Insecta; Lepidoptera; Bombycidae.